This 384-nucleotide ribosomal RNA is filed under the name uncultured methanogenic archaeon. RNAcentral describes it as "bacterial SSU rRNA". It matches the Rfam family "Archaeal small subunit ribosomal RNA", at positions 40 to 435 of the family's 1478-position model. Lineage: Archaea; Methanobacteriati; Methanobacteriota. The record is from RNAcentral.
UCGUUAGCAUGCGAGUCGAGAGGUGUAAGACCUCGGCAUACUGCUCAGUAACACGUGGACAACCUAACCUGAAGAGGGGGAUAACCCCGGGAAACUGGGGAUAAUACCCCAUAGAUUAUGGAUGCUGGAAUGCUCUGUAGUUGAAAGGUCCGCCGCUUCAGGAUGGGUCUGCGGCCGAUUAGGUUGUUGUUGGGGUAACGGCCCAACAAGCCUGUAAUCGGUACGGGUUGUGGGAGCAAGAGCCCGGAGAUGGAUUCUGAGACACGAAUCCAGGCCCUACGGGGCGCAGCGGGCGCGAAAACUUUACAAUGCGAGCAAUCGUGAUAGGGGACCUCCGAGUGCCUGUAAAAUCAGGCUGUCCGCCAUUGUAAAUAACUGGUGAAG